AACGAACGCUGGCGGCGUGCUUAACACAUGCAAGUCGAACGCGAAAGGGACUUCGGUCCUGAGUAAAGUGGCGCACGGGUGAGUAACGCGUAGAUAACCUGUCUUCAUGUCUGGAAUAAUACGCCGAAAGGGGUACUAAUACCGGAUAUUCUUGCCUUUCAUAAGUUAUGCAAGCAAAGGUGGCCUCUGCAUAUGCUACUGCAUGAAGAGGGGUCUGCGUACCAUUAGCUAGUAGGUGGGGUAAUGGCCUACCUAGGCGACGAUGGUUAGCGGGUCUGAGAGGAUGAUCCGCCACACUGGCACUGGAACACGGGCCAGACUCCUACGGGAGGCAGCAGUGAGGAAUAUUGCGCAAUGGGGGAAACCCUGACGCAGCGACGCCGCGUGAGUGAAGGAAGGCCUUCGGGUCGUAAAGCUCUGUCAAGAGGAAAGAAGUGUACAAUGGCUAAUACCUGUUGUAUUUGACGGUACCUCUAAAGGAAGCACCGGCUAACUCCGUGCCAGCCGCUGC
This 511-nucleotide ribosomal RNA is filed under the name uncultured bacterium. Its description in RNAcentral is "bacterial SSU rRNA". It matches the Rfam family "Bacterial small subunit ribosomal RNA", at positions 29 to 518 of the family's 1533-position model. The record is from RNAcentral.